GGAUCGAUGAUGACACCCUAAUCAGCAUCCCUUGGAAAAGCUGAACAAAAUGAGUGAGAAAUCCCUUCCGUGUCCUCUCAUCGAACUGAGGUCC
This 94-nucleotide small nucleolar RNA is filed under the name Dasypus novemcinctus (nine-banded armadillo). RNAcentral's name for it is "Small nucleolar RNA SNORD116 (ENSDNOG00000035120.1)". It matches the Rfam family "Small nucleolar RNA SNORD116". Rfam says of the family: HBII-85 is a member of the C/D class of snoRNAs, which contain the C (UGAUGA) and D (CUGA) box motifs. Lineage: Eukaryota; Metazoa; Chordata; Mammalia; Cingulata; Dasypodidae. The record is from RNAcentral.